Molecule: ribosomal RNA, 253 nt
Filed under: uncultured bacterium
Lineage: Bacteria
Description: partial 16S ribosomal RNA
Rfam family: Bacterial small subunit ribosomal RNA
Source: RNAcentral
UACGUAGGUGGCAAGCGUUGUCCGGAAUUAUUGGGCGUAAAGAGCUCGUAGGCGGUCUGUCGCGUCGGCUGUGAAAACCCGAGGCUCAACCUCGGGCCUGCAGUCGAUACGGGCAGACUAGAGUGCUGUAGGGGAGACUGGAAUUCCUGGUGUAGCGGUGAAAUGCGCAGAUAUCAGGAGGAAUACCGAUGGCGAAGGCAGGUCUCUGGGCUGACACUGACGCUCAUGCACGAAAGCGUGGGGAGCAAACAGG